This 482-nucleotide ribosomal RNA is filed under the name uncultured bacterium. Its description in RNAcentral is "partial 16S ribosomal RNA". It matches the Rfam family "Bacterial small subunit ribosomal RNA", at positions 28 to 523 of the family's 1533-position model. The record is from RNAcentral.
GACGAACGCUGGCGGCGUGCUUAACACAUGCAAGUCGAACGAUGAAGAAGAGCUUGCUCUUCGGAUUAGUGGCGAACGGGUGAGUAACACGUGACUAACCUGCCCCUUUCUCUGGGAUAACGCUACGAAAGGAGUGCUAAUACCGGAUACUCACAUCGAGGCACAUGCCUUGCUGUGGAAAGUUUUUCGGAAAGGGAUGGAGUCGCGGCCUAUCAGCUUGUUGGUGAGGUAACGGCUCACCAAGGCGACGACGGGUAGCCGGCCUGAGAGGGCGACCGGCCACACUGGGACUGAGACACGGCCCAGACUCCUACGGGAGGCAGCAGUGGGGAAUAUUGCACAAUGGGCGAAAGCCUGAUGCAGCGACGCCGCGUGAGGGAUGAAGGUCUUCGGAUUGUAAACCUCUUUCAGUAGGGACGAAGCGAAAGUGACGGUACCUAAAGAAGAAGCACCGGCUAACUACGUGCCAGCAGCCGCCGUAA